RNAcentral lists this ribosomal RNA (253 nucleotides) under uncultured bacterium. RNAcentral's name for it is "partial 16S ribosomal RNA". It matches the Rfam family "Bacterial small subunit ribosomal RNA", at positions 524 to 776 of the family's 1533-position model. The record is from RNAcentral.
UACAGAGGGUGCGAGCGUUAAUCGGAGUUACUGGGCGUAAAGCGUGCGUAGACGGUUAUUUAAGUCGGGUGUGAAAGCCCCGGGCUCAACCUGGGAAUUGCAUUUGAGACUGCGUAGCUAGGGUGCGGAAGAGGGAAGCGGAAUUUCCGGUGUAGCGGUGAAAUGCGUAGAUAUCGGAAGGAACACCAGUGGCGAAAGCGGCUUCCUGGUCCAGCACCGACGUUCAGGCACGAAAGCGUGGGGAGCAAACAGG